RNAcentral lists this ribosomal RNA (477 nucleotides) under Candidatus Scalindua brodae. RNAcentral's name for it is "bacterial SSU rRNA". It matches the Rfam family "Bacterial small subunit ribosomal RNA", at positions 365 to 832 of the family's 1533-position model. Lineage: Bacteria; Pseudomonadati; Planctomycetota; Candidatus Brocadiia; Candidatus Brocadiales; Candidatus Scalinduaceae. The record is from RNAcentral.
UUCGCAAUGCCCGAAAGGGUGACGAAGCGACGCCGCGUGGGUGAGGAAGGCCUUCGGGUUGUAAAGCCCUGUCAGGAGUUAAGAAAUAUAAGUGCGCUAAUAUCGCAUUUAUUUGACGAAGGCUCCAAAGGAAGCCACGGCUAGCUCUGUGCCAGCAGCCGCGGUAAUACAGAGGUGGCAAGCGUUGUUCGGAAUUAUUGGGCAUAAAGGGCACGUAGGUGGGUUUGUAAGUCAGAUGUGAAAGCCUUCUGUUCAACGGAAGAAUUGCAUCUGAAACUACAAGUCUUGAGUGUAGGAGGGGAGAAUGGAACUUCUGGUGGAGCGGUGAAAUGCGUAGAUAUCAGAAGGAACGCCGGCGGCGAAAGCGAUUCUCUGGCCUAUUACUGACGCUCAGUGUGCGAAAGCUAGGGGAGCAAACGGGAUUAGAUACCCCGGUAGUCCUAGCUGUAAACGAUGGGCACUAAGUAGAGGGGUUUU